AAAUAAAUAAGAAAUGAAAUAGAAGGAGUAUAGAACUUUAUUUUCCAAGUAACUUAUCACCAACUGGACAAUGGUUGAAGAUUUGGAAUAUAAAGAGAUGAUGAGGCCUUUUAUGUGGUGAUAGUGUUCUAAUGAAGACCCUUAGUCUAGUACAAGCUGCUGCCAUUGCUGCAGAACGCAGAUUACAGUAUGAGAUAUGUUGUGGUUCUCAAUCUGGUGGUGACUAUGAAGUUGCCAAGAACAUUGUGCAGCAUAAGGGGAAAAAUGUAAGAAGUUCAAGUUUACCUGUUAACUCAUCAUCUAGUACUCCUAAUUUUGUAGAUUUGACUAUGGAUACACACAAAAUUGGAUCUAAACGACGAAUAUGCCGUGGAUCAGAAAGCACUUCACAUUCUCAAUGCAAAUCAAGUGUGUCAUCUAGUGAUAAUAGAACUCUUCAUUCUGAAGAAUCUGGAAUGUGAGAGUGUGUGAUCUGCACUCUGUUGAAUAAAAGUCGCAUAUGCGAGUUAUGAGGCAAUCGCCAAAAGAUGUUAGUACCAAAUACAACAAAACUUGGUCUUGAAAAUUUUGUACGUUGGAAAACAAUGUCAAGUUGGACAAGUGCUCAGCCUGUGACCAGUGGAGAUACUCUUAUGGCUCAGCAGUAUCAAACCUUGGUACUUGGCAGAAGAACUGUGUAAUUUGCUUUGUUGGUUUUUUGGCUUUAGUCUUCACAAGCACUCUGUUUUUGGUCGUUUACUACCCAUAUGUGGGAUGCUAUCAGUAUAAACACAGAAGAAGCUAACAUGAUGUAGGGUUUAAGGGGCACGAAAUUAAUAUAAACAUUUCUAUAAGUAAAAUACAAAAAGUCUUAGCAAUCUUCUUAUGUGCAUAUAUC
This is a long non-coding RNA of Glycine soja, 877 nucleotides long. RefSeq lists it as uncharacterized. The record is from RefSeq and is a predicted model, not a curated record. Lineage: Eukaryota; Viridiplantae; Streptophyta; Magnoliopsida; Fabales; Fabaceae. The transcript is spliced from 3 exons.